GCCACUGCUAUUGGGGUUCGGCUAAGCCAUGCGAGUGGAGGGCGUCCCGCAAGGGAUGGCCCCGCAGACGGCUCAGUAACACGACGUCAACCCACCUUAGGGUGGGGGACAACCUCGGGAAACUGAGGAUAAUCCCCCAUAGGCGGGGGAGGCUAGAAUGCGCCCCCGCUGAAAGCUCAGGCGCCCUAGGACGGGACGGCGGCCUAUCAGGUAGUUGGUGGUGUGACG
RNAcentral lists this ribosomal RNA (228 nucleotides) under uncultured archaeon. Its description in RNAcentral is "partial 16S ribosomal RNA". It matches the Rfam family "Archaeal small subunit ribosomal RNA", at positions 23 to 246 of the family's 1478-position model. The record is from RNAcentral.